RNAcentral lists this ribosomal RNA (142 nucleotides) under Fusicatenibacter sp. RNAcentral describes it as "partial 23S ribosomal RNA". It matches the Rfam family "Bacterial large subunit ribosomal RNA", at positions 2782 to 2925 of the family's 2925-position model. The record is from RNAcentral. Lineage: Bacteria; Bacillati; Bacillota; Clostridia; Lachnospirales; Lachnospiraceae.
UAAGCGUGAAGCCCCCCUCAAGAUGAGAUAUCCCAUUCGAAAGAAGUAAGACCCCUUGAAGACGACGAGGUAGAUAGGGCAGAGGUGGAAGUGCCGUAAGGCAUGGAGCUGACUGUUACUAAUCGGUCGAGGGCUUGACCUA